This 253-nucleotide ribosomal RNA is filed under the name uncultured bacterium. RNAcentral's name for it is "partial 16S ribosomal RNA". It matches the Rfam family "Bacterial small subunit ribosomal RNA", at positions 524 to 776 of the family's 1533-position model. The record is from RNAcentral.
UACGAAGGGGGCUAGCGUUGUUCGGAUUUACUGGGCGUAAAGGGCGCGUAGGCGGUUCGUUAAGUCCUGUGUGAAAUCCCCCGGCUCAACUGGGGAACUGCACAGGAAACUAGCGGGCUUGAGUUCGGGAGAGGGAAGCGGAAUUCCGGGUGUAGCGGUGAAAUGCGUAGAUAUCCGGAGGAACACCGGUGGCGAAGGCGGCUUCCUGGACCGACACUGACGCUGAGGCGCGAAAGCUAGGGGAGCAAACGGG